UACGUAGGGGGCGAGCGUUGUCCGGAUUUAUUGGGCGUAAAGAGCGUGUAGGCGGCCAGGUAGGUCAGCUGUGAAAACUCGAGGCUCAACCUCGAGAUGUCGGCUGAAACCAUCUGGCUAGAGUCCGGAAGAGGAGAAUGGAAUUCCCGGUGUAGUGGUGAUAUGCGUAGAUAUCAGGAGGAACACCGGUGGCGAAGGCGGCUUUCUGGACAAAAACUGACGCUGAGGCGCGAAAGCUAGGGGAGCAAACAGG
This 253-nucleotide ribosomal RNA is filed under the name uncultured bacterium. RNAcentral's name for it is "partial 16S ribosomal RNA". It matches the Rfam family "Bacterial small subunit ribosomal RNA", at positions 524 to 776 of the family's 1533-position model. The record is from RNAcentral.